This 234-nucleotide long non-coding RNA is filed under the name Ananas comosus (pineapple). RNAcentral's name for it is "long non-coding RNA (ACOM_LNC033329)". Lineage: Eukaryota; Viridiplantae; Streptophyta; Magnoliopsida; Poales; Bromeliaceae. The record is from RNAcentral.
UUAAUGCAGAAAUCACUAUCAUUAAUACUAUCCUCAUCACUAUCACCAAAGUUGCUCCAUUCAUCAAAUGAACAAUCACUUUCUGAUCCAUCUUCAACAUCUUCUUCAACAUGAGCCUUGUUUUCUUCAACCCCUCCACUUACAUUUCCAUCAUGAGGCUCACUGAUUCCCUACUCACUAUCACCAACUACAUUUGUAUUCUGCUUCACUUGCUUCCCCUGUCCAUCUACAUCU